AAUAACAACUACUUCAAUAGAAGAAUAUAAUAGAAUUGAAAUUCUUUUUGUACCAACUCAAGAUGAAAUAAUCAGAGACAUUUAUUCAUUUACAAAUAAUAUAUAUUUUGUUUUGUACAAAGUAAUACACCUUAUGAAGUUCGUUAACCUUUCUCAAAUUGAUUUGAAUUACGAAUAUAUCUUAAAAAACGAAGCAAAACCAAUUGAACAAAACAAUAUUUUUAAUCUUUUGGAAAAGAAUAUACAAAAGAGAUUAGAAAGUCAGGUGUUGGAAAUUAAUGAUCAGCUUUUAAAAUAUUUUCAAAAUUAUGAAGAAAACGUCAAUGAUGUUUAUGUUUUAAAAAAGUAUUUUACGAGUUUGAGCAAUAAUAUUAGUCUACUUCAAGAAAGUAUAAUUUAUUUAGAUGACUACAAUAAUCAAUGGAAAAUAAACAAGAAAGAAGCUAUAUCAAAAAUAUCAAAUUUUAUCAAAAACUACAACAUUUAUGAUUUAGAAGACAAUUUUGUUAACAUAAAUCAGUGUUAUGAUUACUUAGAAUUUUUGGAAAUUUUUAAAUUAAGCAAUGCUGUAAAUUUGUCACAAAUUUUCAAUUUAAAAGAAGUUGGAAAAUUUGUGGAAGAAACAAAGAAUUGGUACAUCUUUUUGGAUAAUUUUUACUUUUCGUUAUCUGACAUAGAGGUACAAAAACGUCGAAACAACAAGUUUUUUAGAAUAAAAGAGUUAGAGGAUACAUGUGUAAUGAAGACGUACUCCGAAAAGUUUGACGUAGGAUUUGUUCGUUUCAGAGAAUUGUACAUGCGUGAAGUGGAGAAAGAUUUUCCAACUUACUAUACACCGAAUGAGACAUUUAUCAAUAAAGUUAAAAUUGAACGUUUUUGUAACAUAUAUUAUCGAACUGUAUUAGAUGAAUCAGAUAUGAUGUGCUCUGACAAUACAUUGCAAAUAAAAGGAGAAUUCAUUACAUUUGAUCAAAUACCCCCAAAUAAUUAUUGCGUCACUGGCAUCAAACGGUUAGAAUUAUUUGCCUUUGAUACACUCUAUAUAAACACUGAUUUAAUUCGUACUGGAGAGGAACUUGAGAUUGUUGCAAUUGCACCCAAAUGGGUUGUGUGCGGUGAGAGGAAGAUUGUAUUGGAUGGAAUAUCUGGAAAUAUUAUUCGCCCACCAAAAGCUCCUGAUAGCUAUACACCCGGUUUUGAUGGCGAAGAUGGACAACCAGGACUUCCAGGAGGGCCGGCUGGUAACUUCCUUGGUAUUGGGGCUAAACUUUAUGGAGUUAAUGAUUGUGCAAAUUAUGAAGAAGAAUUAGCAAACAAUUCACUUACUAUUAGUAUGAAUGGAGGUAAUGGUGGAAAGGGACAAGAUGGAGGAAAUGGAGCAAAGGGUAAAGAUGGAUUAACAUAUGCAUUUGAGUUUAAAGAAUCAUAUUCUGAGGUAUCGUCUUAUGGUGACAUUCCUAAAGAGAUGAAAGAUUGCAAUUUUCAGAAUAUACCCUCCAAUACAGUUUCCUGCAUAAUCGUAGAAGGUUCGAAGGGAAAUGAAAACGGAGUUGGUGGAAAUGGAGGAAAAGGUGGAUUACCAGGUACAGCAGGGAACGUACUUUUAUAUUUACCUACCAAUUUGUCUAAUAUUCAGUUAGUAGUUUAUAAUAAAAGUGGGAUACAUGGAGAAGGAGGUGUUGGAGGAUUAGGUGGAAUAGGAAGUAUGGACGGGCGAACAAUAUAUGGAAUUUACAAAAAAUGGGAACGACCUGCUGCUGGUCGUUACAAACAUAAAACAGUAUACAAUCUGAUUAAUGUUACUAAGACAGAAAUAGUUAUGCUUCCGCAGGGAAAAAGCGGUGAGUCAAACAAAAACAUGAAUGGAAUGAUAAACUUGAAAAGUCCAGCAAUGACCGAAUUCCCUUUAAGUGUAAACAAAUACAAAAAAUAUUUAAGGGAAAAAAUAUCGACUGGAAUAAAUUCUAUUGAAUUAAUGAACUUUUACAUAGUGCUAGAUGCUGGACAUUCUCCUGAAGAUAAAAUAAAAGUAACUGGUUUUGAAACAACUUUAGGAUUUGUCAAUGAAUUAGAAGGACUAGAAGAACAAUUUUUUGAACUUCAUAAUAAAAUAAACUUUUUACCGUUCUAUAAGUCUUUGUUGCGACGAGUAGAAAAUUAUGCCAAGGCUCCAUAUUAUAAGGAAAAUAACAAGGAACAUAAAAAAGUUUUAGACUAUUUAUGUGCUGCUAUUCAAAUUAAAAAAUGUAUUAUCAAAGACGAAUCUAAUAAUUAUCUAAUCAACGAUAUAAAAAAACAUUUGUCUCUUAUUUCAGAAAGUGUACAAGAAAUUUCCGCUGCUACCAAUCAGGUAAACAGAAACAAAAUAAACAAAAGAUUUAAAAACGACAUUGACAAUAAAAUCAGAGAAGCAAAUAAAAUUAUUAAAAUUAUCGAUUCUGAAGUUCAAAAAAUAAAUAAAAAAAUGGAAUCCGAAAUCAAAACUCUGACGAAUGUGACAAUUUUUCAAGAAAAGAGAGUAGAAAUAAAACUGGAAAAUGACAUAGAAAGGAAAAAAUCGGUAGAAAAGAGAUUAGUUAUGAGAGGAGUUUUUGAAGUACUAAAAGGAGUAUCUUUUUUAGCUUCCUUCUGUGGUCCUUGGGGAACUAUUAUUGGAGGAUUAUUAGAAACUGGUCAAAAUUAUGUUGAACCCCUUGUCCUAAAGUCAAUGUCAGAAGAAGAAACGAGAGACUUUAUAUUAAAGAAUUCAGUUGAUGUGUUAUCGAAAGCCAGAGGACAUAUACAAUCCAUAACUGAUAAAUUAUGGUCUUCUCAUCAAGAAGCUUUAAAGAAAAACAUAGAAAAUUUGAAGAAUAAAGAAAAAGAGUUACCUGACUUAAAAGAGACAAGGGAAAAAUUAGAAAAAAUAAAAACAAACGAUCUACUGUCUGACAAUAGUAUACUUGAUCAAACCGAGUUAGUUAUUUCUGAAAAAGAACAAAAUUUAACUAAUGCUAUUAAAUUAUUAAAUGUAGGUCAAGAUGCUUAUAAUAAAAAAAAAGAAAUCUUGGAAGUUCUAAAAAGUGUGGAAAAAGUAAACAGAAUAUACAAAUCAGGUUACAAAAUUCUUGACUCAUGUACCUUCAAUAGUCCUGAAAUAGACAAAAUUAAUGCAGAAAUAAACACUGAUAAGAGUAAAGUUAGAAAAUUAGAUGAUUUUCAAAAUGACAUUCAUCAAAGUAUUAUGCCAAUGUUAAGAAGCAUGCGAGAUGAAGUAAAUAAUAUUGAAAAUAAAUUAACAUCCAUGUCUGAAGUUGAAAUAGAUGUAACGAAAUGGCAAGUACAGGAAACAUUGACAAAUAUAAAGACAAGAUUAAACAUUAUGACAAAAGACUUUCCACAAAUUUCAGACACUUUGGGAAGUCUUGUGCAACGGUUAAUUGAUACAUUAAAUACUUUAAUAAACAUAUAUGAACGCAUAGAACAAUAUCAAGACAGAAAGGUAUUAGUGGAUUAUAUAGCUCAAAUUAAUUCACCCAGCAUAAGAAAUUUAAAUAUAGAGGAAAAUCUUAACUAUGCCAUUAGUUAUUUAAAGAUAGUGUUAGAUACUAAUGCAAUAAUAGAUCCUUACAAAAGAACAAUGAAUACUUUAAAACAAUAUGUAUUUCCCUUUGCAAAAUUUUACAUCUCUGAAUUUGGAUUGCCUUCCGAUUUAGAUAUAAAUGAUUUUAGUAACGUACAAUCAAAUGUAAUAUAUCAAAUGAAACGGGUUAUGAAGUACUUGGAAAAAAGCGAAGUAUCGAUAAUACCUUAUGUUGAUGAGCAUGUCCAUGAGGGACUAUUUUCAAUAAAGAAUGAAUUUUCUGGACCUUUUUAUACUUGGAAAAAUUCUAAUUAUAAAUUGUUAAUUAAAAAAUUUUUGUCUGGAGAAAAGAUCUUAUUGGAAGCUAAUGUACGAGAAGGACUUAAAAUAAAUGCUGUCAAAUUCAAGACAAUUGCACUAGAGUUCGAUGCAGUAAAUCCGAGGUAUCAAGAAGAUUUAGAUAAGAUAUUAAACAAAUUUUAUGUGACUAUGACACAUAUGGGUACUUCAUAUUACAGAUGUGGUGAAAAUUAUUACACAAUAUCCACCAAUAGACACACUUUCUCGUUUUCAUUACAAAAGAAAAAUGGUGAUAAUGAUCCAAUGCAAACUAAUUUAUUAUAUAAAAAACUACAACAGGGCGAUUUUAUAUUAAGUCCAUAUGCAUUAUGGGAGGUACAACUUAAAGCAAAAAAUGGGAUAGCUUUUGAAGAUUUGAAAAAGUAUAUAAACCAGGUGAAUAUUGCCUUAUCUGGCUAUGGACAAUAUGUGGAUAUGGAAACGGAUGCUUGCGACGUUGAUUUAAAUAAAUACUAUAAACUAGAGUCGAAUUACAAGUCUCUUGUAUGAUUAUGGAACUGUUGAAUAUAUUUCAACAAACAUUUUAACUCAAAAGUAAUGAGAAAAUGUAUUUCCAAUAAAAUAUGAUUAAAAUUCAAUAGAUUCCCUACAAUUUUCAUAUUGAACAUUUGUUUGUAACUAUCAUAGAUUUCGAAAUAAAAAUUGUUGAAAAAAGUGACUUAAAAAUUUAAAUAACAAUAUCUUGCAAAAUAAUCGAAAUUCUGCAAAAAUGUUUUCACAACUUAUAAUUUUUUUCAAAUUCUAUGCGUUAGGGCCGAAAAAUUUUGUUUUUCUUACACGGAGAGACAGCUAUUAGCAAAAAUUACAAAAACUUGUAGCAAAGUGCAGAAAUAAGGGGAAUUAUUUAAUAUUGUACAAAAGAAAUAGAUAAAUUUUCUACAAUGAAAUAGCAAGUUUUAAUAUUUUGUGUAAUAGUGGUAAAUAUAGGGAAAAUUGAUAAAUAAUUUCAUAUAAUUAUAUAAAGUUCAAAUUUUAUUUACAUAAAUUAUUGAAAUUGGCGCUUAUUAAUUACAAUACAUCUCGCAAUAAUGUAUAAACAUACAGUUACUAGUGUUGAAAGUGUUAUCUAUAGUAAAGUCUGAUAAUUAAGCUUAAGACACAUAGCCUUGGCGUAAAGCAGAGAUACACAUUCUAUACUCUGUGUGCCAAUAUUAUAUAGAGAAAAUACGAAACUUUUUCAUUGUCUGUACUACCAAAUUAUCUCUGCCUUGUAUUUAAGGAUUAACAAAAAUAUUUUCUUGUGCAUUUAAAAAUCUAACUAAAGGGACCAACCUUGUACUUAAAAUAUUUAUUAUUCAGGUAUCACGUGCUGACACAAAAUAGGAGCUCUUUAAUAUAUAUUAGUACAGUUUAACUAUGGUUAAAAUUUUAGUGAAAGUGGAGUGAAAGUGGAGUGAUAUUACAUAAUCGACCCCCUGAUUUGUCAUAAGUUUAAGAAAUAUAUUUACCUGGGAAGAGAUAUCCCGAGGAGACUUGUAGUGUGAAAAGAGAUGUCCGUGUGAAGUCUU
This is an RNA transcript of Leptopilina heterotoma, 5430 nucleotides long. It is a transcript of the gene named glutathione hydrolase 1 proenzyme-like, with no coding region annotated. The record is from RefSeq and is a predicted model, not a curated record. The transcript is spliced from 3 exons. NCBI's taxonomy places the organism in Eukaryota, Metazoa, Arthropoda, Insecta, Hymenoptera, Figitidae.